GAUUCCUCAAGGAUCUAGAACUAGAAAUACUGUUUGACCCAGCCAUCCCAUUACUGGGUAUAUUCCCAAUGGAUUAUAAAUCAUGCUACUAUAAAGACACAUGCUCAAGUAUGUUUAUUGCAGCACUAUUCACUAUAGCAAAGACUUGGAAGCAACCCAAAUGUCCAUCAAUCAUAGACUGGUUUAAGAAAAUGUGGCACAUAUACACCAUGGAAUACUAUGCAGCCAUAUAAAAGGAUGAGUUCGUGUCCUUUGUAGGGACCUCUAUGAAGCUGGAAACCAUCAUUCUGAGCAGACUAUCACAAGGACAGAAAACCAAACACCGCAUAUUCUCACUCAUAGGUGGGUAUUGGAAAAUAAGAACACUUGGAGACAGGUUGGGGAACAUCACACAACAGGGCCUGUCGGGUGGGGUUGGGGGGAGUGAUAGCAUUUGGAUAAAUACCUAAUGUAAAUGACUAGUUAAUGAGUGCAGCAAACCAACAUGGCACAUGUAUACCUAUGUAACAAACCUGCACAUUGUGCACACGUACCCUAAAAUUUAAAGUAUAAUAAAAAUAAAAUAAAAAAAAAGAAAGUGGGCUUGAUAAGAUUUUGACUUGGUAGAAUUUUAACUACCGGCUAUACAAUUCUUGACUUAGGAAAUUAAAGCCUUAAGUCUUCUGAAAAGCCCUUUAAUUCAGUUAUUUCAUUAAUUUUGAUAGUUUUGCACCAUCAUCUGCUGAGAAACCUAUCCUAGAUUGUAAGAAGUUUGAGAGUGAAGACUGCCUUAUACAUCUUUUUUUUUUUUUACUUUAGCACAUCUUGCACAAAGUAUUCAUUCAUUCAAGAAAUAUUAAUCAGCUCUAUGCCUGGCCCUGGGAAUACAGUGGUAAAUAUGAGACAGCUACAGCUUAUGGCUUCAUGGGUGAUAUAUUUAGUAGACAACAGGACAAUAUUAAAUAAGAAAAAUAACUUAGGCUACAAGAAUUCCAGAGAGAUGUGAGGGCAUCUACUUUAGUCUGGGAGUCAGCCGUACUCUCCUGUGGAGAGAAGGUUAGUGGAAAUUUGAAGCAAUUGGUCUGGGGAAAUGGUUGCAGAAGACUCACUUCAGGCAGAAAGAAUGUGUGUGCUUAGGAACACAUGAGCAAGAGCCUGGAGACUGGGAAAAACUGAAAGGAUCUCAUAAUGUACAAUGCAGGAAAGAGAAUGGCCAAAAAUAUUCUAUAAGUUUCCUCUAAACUAACAAGUAUUUUACCCUAUCAGUCAUGAAACACUUCUUGGAUGCAGCUCAUGGCAUAAGCAGCCCUGUCUGUUCUCUCCAAGUCCAGGACAGCUUAGGUCUAACCCAGCUGUGCUGGCCACAUACAUCUCAGACCCCCUACUUCAUGGAGGACAGAUGUUAUUGAUCACCGGCCAUAACUUCGAAGCCACCUACUGCAUAUUUGCACUGAAGCCAUUCUUCCCAGUGGCUCUUAGCCAGUGACUGGGCACAGCACAGACACUCAGACAGACUCAUUCCUGGGAUAUGAGAGCUCUUCUAAUGAGCAGCUUUAGCUGAAAGAUCCCUCUUCGGCCUUGCAGAAGAGCACAGUAGUCUAGACUCUUCCUACACAGCCUUCCUUCCUUUCCCCUCUUCUCACAGGGUGAGACCUGCGGGCAGUUCCAUGAUUCCUUCUGCCUCCUCCAGCUCCUCCCCAUUUUUCUUCACAGGCAUUUCCCCCAGUAAAAUGCUCACACAUCUAAUCCUGUCACAGCAUCUGCUUCUCAGAGGACCCAAACUAACAAUUCCAGACAACCACGUAUCUUAUCCUGUAGGGGGAGAUGGCACAGUUACAGAUAUUUUUUUUCUGUUAGUUAGGCAUAGACAUGGAAUCCCAAAGAGUAUUUAAUGAAGUUUUUUCUUAAAGUAGAAGAAAUAAUCAUGGGCUGAGUGGUAGAGGAUUUGUAAUCAAAGAAAUAGCAAGAGAGAAAGAGAGAGAAAAGAAGAAAUAGGUGAAGGUGAAAGGGGGGAAAUGAGAGGGAGGCUGUGGUUGGGGAGGCAAACUUCAAAGAAUGUUGCUGGAAGAGGGGGAAGGAAAAAUAUAAUGUGCUCACUAAUUCUGUUGGAAUAACAAUCUCUUAUUCUUGGAAGACCCAGUCUUCUCUUUAAGAACCAGGUUCCAUCACUCUAAUGGAAGGGUACUCAUAUAAUCACAAGUCUAAGACAGACAGAGAAACUUUUAGCAAAAUUACUUAUAGAAGACAGGCUAUAUAUAUCAUACAGAUUUGUAAAUUCCAAGAGUCUAACUUUGGGAGUUCAAAAUAUCUGAUUUUUUUUUUUUGCAGGUAUUUCUUUGGAGGCCAAGUCACAUGGGAACCUCUUUGUCCACCUUCCCUCUCAGGGCCCAAAUAUCCCUCUCCAAAGAUUCAGAAGCAAAAUGGGAGGAAGUUGACAAUGAUGACAAUCUAUGCCUGACUUCAGCCCCAAGGAAGGUUUGACCUAGAGAGGUGUGAAGAUGUCAAACCUACACUGUCCAAUAUGGUAGCCAGUAGCACAUGUGACUCUUUACAUUGACUUUUAAAUGGACUACAAUUAAAUAAAAUUUAAAAAUCCAUUUCACGGGCAUACCAGCCACAUUUCAAGUAUGUCGUAGCUGCAUGUAACUAAUGGCUACUAUACCGGAAAGCACACACAGAAAAUGUUUCAUCAUCACAUAAAAUUCUGUUGAACAAAUCUGUGUUGAAUAACAACACACUUAGGACUGUGUUCAAUCCUAAGUUGAACACAAUCCUUAGGAUCUUGCUGAAUGGACAGAGCUGCAGUGGGAAAGGAGAAGAGUGAGGCUCUAGGAAAAUCCUGCCCUCUAAAAAAUGAAGGGCUCGUUCUAUGGUUGGCCUCCAUGCCAUGACCAAAGAUCAUGGACAGGUUAAAUCGAUUAGGAAAGCACUUCUCACAUAUCUAACCUGCCCUGCCAUGGGUUCAAUUUACGUAGUACACUGGACAAUGUAGCUUGAAUCCUAAAUUCAAAUGUGUUAAAUAUUCUUAGUAUUCCGUCUGUAUACUAACAAAGAAAAAAAUGUUAAGUGACUGUGCCACGCUCUCCUUCCAGAGCAGUGUUUCUUAAUUUCAGCACUACUGACAUUUUGGGCCAGAUAAGUCUUUGCUGUGGGGGCUUGUCCCACGCACUGCAGGAUGUUUGGCAGCACCCCUGGCCUCCACCCUCUAGAUGCUGGGAGCACUCUCCACCUCCACCCCCAUUGUAACAACUAAAAAUGUUGCCAGACGUUACCCAGUGUACGCUGGAGGGAAAAAUCACUCCAGGGUGAGGGCCACUGAUCUAGAAUAUGAUACAUGGCAUCUGUGAUAUGAGAAAAUGACCUUGGGCCUGGUCGUAAAAGAAUGUGCCACCUCCUCACCUGAAACACAACCAAGCAGUGGCCCGUGACUGACUUGGCAAAAUAACACUUUGUUCAGAGGAAGCUCAUAAAACAGUUUUGGCCGGGAGGAUGAGCUAACCUCAUAAUAGGUACUUGAGAGAAGCCACCCCGCUAAUGCAUGCUGUGUACCAUGAUUAGGAUUGACUUAACUAGGGUGAAGAAAUCAUAUAAUUUGCUGUGUCUACAGAUAUGUAAGUAAUCCAAAUGUGUGUUUCUUUUUUAAGUAUCAAAGGAUAAUUCUAGAAUAAAAUUCAUAGUCACAGUCAUAUUAAAAAACGUCCACAUUUUCAAAAGUCUAACUACAUUUUUCACUCUCCUCUAAAAAUGGAGACACAACACUGUGUUCUAACCUGAAGAUUUGCAUACUCAAUUCUAACUCAAAACUUUAUCUGCUGACAUCCGUGCUUCAUAAAUAAUUCCCAUGUGAUAAUUAUGUAUCUUGAGCAGAAUUACCAAUGCAUUUGUCUUGAAUGCUUAAUAUAUUUAAUGGGAAAUGUCUCGGGAAUUUUCAGUUCUGUCACUGCCAAGAGGAGGAAGUAUUAACCAUUCAGAAUAAGAUACUCACAUUAGAUUUUGUGCAUUAAGAAAGUCACAACUGAGGCUGUAGGACUUAAAUAGAUGUUUCUCCAGAGAAACAAUAGUCACUACUACACUCCCUUUCCUCCCUUAAAAGGCUGUCCAUUCCUAAAGGGUAGGGACUAUAUGUUCUUCCAGUACCUCUACUAGUGUUCUGUGCAUAUUAGGCAUUUAAUACAAUUUUUGUGCAUGAACAGACAGACUCAGAACAAAGCCUCUGAGUAUAUUGCCAUCCAGCUUGGAUGAGGAUAUAAGUCUCUUAAUCCCCAACUUAUCUUGUUUUCUAACACAAGCAAUAUAUGGGGAAUUAUGCUUAAGAGGCUGUGCCACUUUGUAUUUAAAAACCCAACUCUGUUUUUUAGACUCCUUGUUCCUUAAGUUGGUUAUGUGUUAGGUGACCUUGCUAGUUCCCUAAUUUUUCCAAGUUUCCAUUUUCUCACCAAUAAAUCGAGACUAAUUAAUAAUGACACAUUAAUUUGAGGUCUAAAUGAGAAAAUCUACACAAGGCUUUUAGCACACUGCCUGACACAUAGAAAGUGUUUUCUAAAUGCUAGCUAUUAUUUUUAUGGCAUAAUUCUGUCAUAGAUCCAAAAAGACUUUUUUAUUUUUAAAAAAUCAUAGUCGCAUUUUUUUAAUUAUUACUUUUCUUCUCUUUGAAGUCAAUCCUCUCAACACAGCUUGAGAAUUGCAAUGAAUUUGGGGAUCUGAGAAACAAUCUUUUCUAAAUAUUUGUAUGUUAUUUGGAAACAAUUACAGUGGCAAAAGAGAACAAGAGGCUACCUUUUAGUAUCAAUCUAUCUGUACACUUAAAAAAAAAAAAAAAAAGAAAAAAGCAGCCCAUGACAAGUACAUGCUGAUUUUUAAGAAGAGGUGAGGUAAAAGUGGUACAGCUUUAUUAAGUACAAGAACUUAACAAUCCCUUUUAUUAAACAGAACUUGAAUUUGUAUUACACUGAAUUUAUAGAUCAAUUUGAGGAGGAUUGAUAUGGGUAUGAUAUGGAGUCUUGUUAUUUAAUAAUGUGGUUUCUCACUUAGGAUUGUCUUAUAUCUUUCAAUAAUUUUAGAAUUCUUUUUUAAAAGUUCUUGCAUAUCAUUUCUCAGGUUUGCUUUAAACGGCUGUACAGAUUUUUGAAUGGGGUAUUAUUAAUUGUUCGAAUUGGUUAAAGCAAGAAUGCUAUUGUUUUUGUAUAUUGAUCCUCUAUCCAAAAAAUGUACUGAAUUCUCUAACUACUGCUAGUUUGCAGAUUUUCCUGGAUUUGCAAAGUUAAAAAUCAUAUGCAAAUA
RNAcentral lists this long non-coding RNA (5259 nucleotides) under Homo sapiens (human). RNAcentral's name for it is "non-protein coding ADAMTS9-AS2:12". The record is from RNAcentral. Lineage: Eukaryota; Metazoa; Chordata; Mammalia; Primates; Hominidae.